This 682-nucleotide long non-coding RNA is filed under the name Monodelphis domestica (gray short-tailed opossum). RNAcentral's name for it is "lncRNA (ENSMODG00000043448.1)". The record is from RNAcentral. Lineage: Eukaryota; Metazoa; Chordata; Mammalia; Didelphimorphia; Didelphidae.
GAGGAGCUGCUGGAGGACCUGAGCUGAAGGGUGAGAAGAAAUGAGGAGAAGGCCUCAAAAGAGAUGAGGAAGAAAAUGUAGAAAAGGAUUCAAGGGAAAGAAGAAAGUCAUUGGAAAGACAAUAACAAGUUUGGGAGAGUCUAGAGGCUUUCACCUUACAAGGAUAAAUUCAUUGGAGUCACACAGUUUCCUAAGGAAGCAGCUCUGAUUUAUAGAUGAGGAAACUGAGGCUGAAAAAGAUCAAGUAGCUUGCCCAGGCCCACAAAGCUAGCUAAGCAUUCCCAGUGUCUUCAGUGAUCCUCAGCAGCAUGGACUCAAGGCCCUCCACCAUUCAUCAUGAGAUCCCACUCUAACAAGAUGGAUCCCAGAUCUACUAAUCUCUUUCCUGAGCUCCAGUCUCCCAUUACCAACUGUCAUCUAGACAUAAGAAACUGGAUAUCCAAUAGACAUUUCAAUCUCAACAUGUCAGAAACAGAACUCAUUUCCCCCACAAAGCCUUCCCUUCAUUUGUAGUUUCCUAUUACCAUUAAGAGUUCAACCAUUCUCUUAAUUACCGAGGCUUGCAAUCUCUGUGUCAUAUUUAAUUCCUUAUUCAUACUCAUCCCACAAUUCCAACCAUAUUUUCCAACACGUUUGUUUUCUAGCCUCACAUAUUCUCCUUGAGUGCUAAAGUCACCAGUGA